GCCCUCAUAGUUCAAUGGAUAGAACAAGGGACUCCUAAGCCCUAAAUCCAUGUUCGAUUCAUGGUGGGGGCA
Molecule: transfer RNA, 72 nt
Filed under: bacterium
Lineage: Bacteria
Also listed under: 1 other name
Description: tRNA-Arg
Rfam family: tRNA
About the family: Transfer RNA (tRNA) molecules are approximately 80 nucleotides in length. Their secondary structure includes four short double-helical elements and three loops (D, anti-codon, and T loops).
Source: RNAcentral